UACGGGGGGAGCAAGCGUUGUUCGGAUUUACUGGGCGUAAAGGGCGCGUAGGCGGCCAGCACAAGUCAGUUGUGAAAUCUCCGAGCUUAACUCGGAAAGGUCAACUGAUACUGUGCGGCUAGAGUGCGGAAGGGGCAACUGGAAUUCUUGGUGUAGCGGUGAAAUGCGUAGAUAUCAGGAGGAACACCGGUGGCGAAGGCGCCACUCUGGGCCGAAACUGACGCUGAGGAGCGAAAGCGUGGGUAGCAAACAGG
RNAcentral lists this ribosomal RNA (254 nucleotides) under uncultured bacterium. Its description in RNAcentral is "partial 16S ribosomal RNA". It matches the Rfam family "Bacterial small subunit ribosomal RNA", at positions 524 to 776 of the family's 1533-position model. The record is from RNAcentral.